Molecule: unclassified non-coding RNA, 416 nt
Filed under: soil metagenome
Description: partial contains 5.8S ribosomal RNA, internal transcribed spacer 2, and large subunit ribosomal RNA
Rfam family: 5.8S ribosomal RNA (bases 1-120)
Source: RNAcentral
GAUGAAGAACGCAGCGAAAUGCGAUAAGUAAUGUGAAUUGCAGAAUUCAGUGAAUCAUCGAAUCUUUGAACGCACCUUGCACUCCUUGGUAUUCCGAGGAGUACGCCUGUUCGAGUGUUAUGAAGCUCUCAAAACGCAAUUGUCUUAAAACCUGAUUGUUGUUUUGGAUUUGAACUUUGCCGUGUUAUAACGGCUGGUUUUAAAAGUAUUAGCUGGUACUAGAACGAAUUGGUUCUACUCAACGUGAUAAUUAUCUGAUCGUUGAGGACAUUCCUUUCACGAGGAAUGGCCAUAGUAAAUUCAAUGGACUGCUUCUAAUCUGGCUUUAAUUCUUUAUUGGAUUAACCACUUUUCAAAUCUGACCUCGAAUCAGGUGGGACUACCCGCUGAACUUAAGCAUAUCAAUAAGCGGAGGA